Long non-coding RNA from Papaver somniferum (opium poppy), 3506 nucleotides. RefSeq lists it as uncharacterized. The transcript has 5 exons. The record is from RefSeq and is a predicted model, not a curated record. Lineage: Eukaryota; Viridiplantae; Streptophyta; Magnoliopsida; Ranunculales; Papaveraceae.
CUUUCUUCUUCUUCUUUAUUCCUUCUUCUCUUUCUUUUCUCCCUGCUCUUUUUCUGCCGACGUUUGAGAAGUGAGUUUGAGAUUCGGUUUGAGAGAAUCAAUUGAUGAGGAUAUGCAGAGGUUGAAGGUGAUGGCGCUGUUGUAAGUUGGGAAGAGAACAAUUAGUAAUCGAAGAUAUUAAUCAAGGGAAUUACAGUUAGGGUUUGUAAAACUAGUUAACUGAGUUCAUAUGGAACUGAUAGGGUAAUUAGGUUUCUGCUAGAUGAAGAAACAAUGGGUUGAGGCUUAAUUACAGUUCUGAAGUCUUUUUGGAGAUGAUCAAGAGUUAGGGUUAUGUUCAUCCCCAAAACAGAUAUUAGGGUUCUUGCAUGCAAUUAAAUCAAGUGGCUGAAACUAGAGUUGAGGUUUUGGGGGAGAGAUUAGAGAUGGGUAAAUGUUCAGUUGAAGUUUUGAAGUGAAUCCAGUUAUGAAUAAUAGAAUUUUGGUUAGGAUUUCUGUAUUAUCUUUUGGAACUUGUUUUGGGUAAGGAUUAAGAAGAAAUUAACAGAUGGGUUUGUUCUUAAUUGAUGAUGGUUAAAGCCAUGAGCCGAGGGAGAUGAAUUAAUCAAAGAAUAGAGAUGUUGGUGUUGAGGCUAAUUAAGUUCAGAAAGAAGCUUCUAUGAGGUAAUUAUUCUUAUCUUUAAUUUUAGUUAAGGUAUGCAAUUUCUGUGGUUGAGUUUGUGUGAUUAUUAAUGAAACUAAGAUUGGAAUGAGUUUGGCAUGAAGUUGUGGAUGAAAUUUAGAUUAUAAUUGAGUUACAGGGGAUAACUGGUGGUGGUGAAUCUUAAGAAGAUGUCGAGUAUGGUUGUUGUGUAUGUUGUUGAUUCAUGAUAUACUCUCCCAGGCGGAUGUAACUGAGUGUGUUGGUGGUUUGUCUAGUGAAUUAUAGCCAAUUCUGCUCAGACUUGCAGGGGAGUUAGAUGAAUAUAUUUUGAAUUGGUGUGUUUUGAUGGUGGUUCUGUAACGGUCGGCGUAGAUUAUGGUUGUGGCUAUGUAAUGUUUGAUGUAUUGUUGAGAAUAAAUGUGGAUAAUGGAUUGAGUUUGUAUGAGUAUAGGUAAUGUUGUUUGUGUUGGCUUUGAACUGUGGAUAGCAGGCGGUGGAAGUUAACUGUGUGGGUAGUUUGAAGAUGAUUGUGAGUGAAGGUUUAGAGUUGCAGUCACAACUCAAGAGCUGUUGGUGGUUUAGAAUUAGUGUUCUGUGACCAGAGAAUAAUGAAGAUGGGUGAUGUGGAGUAGAGAAGAUAAGGUUGUGGUUGUUUAGGAAUUACUGUGGUGGAGAUUAUAGUUUGGAGUUGUAUUCAUUUACAGGGAGGAGAGUUGUAUUAUAUAGAACUGUUGGAGUUAGUAAUGGUAGCUGGAGAUGGUGUUGUUUGUGAAGAUGAAGUAAAUGGGUUUGAAUGGAGCUGAAAUAGGUGCACUAUUGGUGGUGGAGAGUAUGGUCUCAACUGAAGUGCAAAUGGAGUCAUACUGUUUUGGUAUUGCUGAAAUUGGAAAUACAAUUUCUGGUUUGAAAUGGAGUUGAACCUCUCUUGUAAAAGCUUGGAAAAGCUGCAAUUGCAGUUUCAGAGACAGAUCAGAGUUGCGCAGCGGAAGCUUCGAAGAGUUGAUUUCAUUAGUUGGAUAACUUCUACUAUGUUUAUUAUAUUGCAUAUUGUAUCUGUAAACCUAGUGACUAUUGUAUAUAUAUAUAUCAUUUGAGAGGACUUCUUGUAUAUAUAUGUUUCAGAGCGGGUUAGUUUUGGGUUAAGUUUUGUAGAACAUUUCUUAGUUGAAUGAUUAAGUAUAUGAUUUAGAUUUCUAGUGCCUCUAUUUUUAGUUAAUCUCUUGGAUUAGUCAGCUGCUAGCUUUGGGGGCGCUACAGGAACCUUAUAGGAACACCAUAAUACAAGAUUCACAUUUUUAGUUGCGAAAUUAUGAGAGCAAUGAGUAUUAAACCUUACAAAGUGAUCCAGGAAGAGGCUAUGCAACAAGAAGAUGUUGUGGAAGCACAUGCAACAACUGAUCAUCAAGCAACUGGUGUCGAUCCUACCAAUGAGUCUGAGGAACAAAGGGAGCAAGAAUAAAAUGACGGGGAAACUUCAUUACUAACAUGAGUUUCCAUAUAUAAGUAUUACAGCUAGAAAUACGCCAAAAAUUCUGCAAGAUCAAACAACCAGAGAGAAGGGAAAAACACCUUCUAGUACCAAUGUUGUUGAUGAGGCGCAGAUUGAAUCCGCAAAAGCUGGUGUUGUGGAUGAGGUGCAGAAGAAAACCGCGGAUCAAGAAAACAAACCAGCAUGUGGAGAUGUAACUACAAAUGCUGAUGACUAGUUUCUAGAGAAACCCACGGAUGAAUAGACACCUGUACUUUUGAUGACAGUUUGCAGAUGACUUCUUCAACUCAGCCAACACAGUUUGAUGAAUCUUUGGUGGUAACUGCUACAACUCAGCAAACUCAGAGUGACAAUCCUGAGACCUACAGGUUGGUGCAAUUAAAACCUAACCUAUGUGAUAUGACGGAUGUUGAGGUAAAUGAAGUAGUAGAUGCGGUCGUCAGCGACAUCAACCAAGGUGUAGAAAAUUCUGAUCAUGGACCUGUAGAGAUGGAGAAUGCAGAACCUACCUCCACUGCUAAAACACAGGAAAACAUUGGUAGUGAUCCAUUAAAUUUUAGCCUUGGCAUAGAUAAAACUCCAAAACCUGUAGGAGAACUAAUCAAGGAAGUUUCGAAUAGACUAAGAGAAAGCCAACCAGGAUUCGUACACCAACGCGUGCUGAGGAAUAGAAAAAUUCAAACACAAGAUCUGAAACUGUUUGAAAGUAAGGCAAAGAAGAUUAAAGACUGCUAAUGAAGAAACAAUGGCCGCAGUCCAAGAAGUAAAAGAAGAAAGAAUCACCGCAGUUCCAUAAGUAGAAGAAGAAAGAAUGGCUGAGGUUGCUGAAGAAGAUGAUGGGACAAUGAGAAAGAAUGUGAAAGGUUUCCCAGUGAUCGAAAGGCUGGAUGUCGAGAAAAAGAAGAAAGUGCUUGAAUAUUUCAAUACUCAUCCCACAACAGACAUUCCUUGGAUGGAAUUCAAAGACGAUGGUAUCCCGCUCUUUGAUAUAAGCAGAGAACUAAUGCUCCAACUUACCAAUAAAGAAGCCUACUUGGAGUCAGAAUUCCUUGACUUCUAUAUUAGCAGGUUGAGGACAAAGAUGAACUUAAACCCCAAAUAUGAGAAAGAUAUAUUCCUCUCCCCGAAAGCAUACGUAAGUACUUCGAAAAAAUUUAAAAUCUUCUUGCAUUUAUAAUGUGUAAUUGGUGUUGUAAGAUUAUGAUAACAUGCUCGGAUUUUUUAAUGUUGGCAAAGUGUGAUGUGUCACCUGAGGUUACAUAUGCAUUUAUAAUGUGUCAUCUGAAGUUACACAUCCAUUUAUAAUGUGUAAUAUUUUUCAAGUGUAAAACUCGAGGACUUAUGUGUAACUUCUGGUUACAUAAUCACUUGUGC